Acanthosepion pharaonis is the source of this 100-nucleotide non-coding RNA. NCBI's taxonomy places the organism in Eukaryota, Metazoa, Mollusca, Cephalopoda, Sepiida, Sepiidae. The record is from the annotation of a GenBank genome assembly.
UUGUAAUUCCAGUUCUCAUCUGAUCACCAAAGUUAAGCAACGUCAAGCCUGGUUAGUACCUAGAUGAGUAACCUCUGGGGAAUAAUAUCAGGUGUUGUAA